CCGCGCCGGGCGGAGGAUGCAGACGCCGGCGGGCGAGGAGGAUGGAGGCCGGGGAGGCAGCGCCGGCGGGGGCGGGGGGCCGCGCCGCGGGCGGCUGGGGCAAGUGGGUGCGGCUCAACGUGGGGGGCACGGUGUUCCUGACCACCCGGCAGACGCUGUGCCGCGAGCAGAAGUCCUUCCUCAGCCGCCUGUGCCAGGGCGAAGAGCUGCAGUCGGACCGCGAUGAGACCGGGGCCUACCUCAUUGACCGAGACCCCACCUACUUUGGGCCCAUCCUGAACUUCCUGCGUCAUGGCAAGCUGGUGCUGGACAAGGACAUGGCUGAGGAGGGGGUCCUGGAGGAAGCGGAGUUCUAUAACAUCGGCCCGCUGAUCCGCAUCAUCAAAGACCGGAUGGAAGAGAAGGACUACACAGUUACCCAGGUCCCACCCAAGCACGUGUACCGCGUGCUGCAGUGCCAGGAGGAGGAGCUCACGCAGAUGGUCUCCACUAUGUCUGACGGCUGGCGCUUCGAGCAGCUGGUGAACAUCGGCUCCUCCUACAAUUACGGUAGCGAGGACCAGGCGGAGUUCCUGUGCGUGGUGUCCAAGGAGCUUUACAGCUCCCCACACGGGCUGAGCUCUGAGUCCAGCCGCAAAACCAAGCCCAGUCAUCUCAGGAUCCCGCUAACCCUUCCUCCCUCCCACCACCGCCUCCUCCGCCUCCUGCUGGAGGUCCUGCCUCAUCUUCAUCCACCUCCUCUUCCUCCUGGAUCUCAUCUGCACCCUGCCUCUUCCCUCUCUGCCCCUGUCCGGGUUUUCUCUCUGCCUGCUCACGCCUCCCUCCUGGGGCUGCCCCGGUCCCAGCCUCCUGUGCCCUCCACCCAGGCCCCCCGGCCCCGUGUCCCAGAGCAUCUUGCCUGCCGCCUCCUGCGCCCCUUCCAGCUCCUCCUGCCUCCCAGCCUGGGGAGGGGGCGUGCAGCUGCACCUCCUCUGUGCCCACCAACCCUGCCGGGCACCUCUGAGGCUGGGCCUCGAUGCAGGUCCGGCCCUGUCCUGCCCCGCCGCCGCCUCACGUUUCCUCCUUGCAGGUUCCCGUCUGCACCCUCUCAGACCUGAGGCCGAGCUUGCAGUGAGGGCUUCUCCUCGGCCCCUCGCCCGCCCCCAGAGCUGCCACCCCUGCUGUUACAAGCCAGAGGCACCCGGAUGUGAGGCCCCAGAUCACCUCCAGGGACUUGGGGUUCCCAUCUGAAAUCCUUUAUUUUUGUUCCACGGGGUGGGCUCCUGGCCUGAGACGGAAGAAGUGCUCUCCCCGCCGCCACCUCUGCGCCUGUGGGGCUGUGAUGUGCCCCUGCCCCCAGGGGCGGGCGGGUGGCGCGCUGGGACCUCUCGAGGCCUGAGGUGGGCCCUGGGACCCCUGGGCAGAGCCACCUGCCCCUGGCCAAAGUGUGGCACUGUCCAGCUGUGUCUUCCAGGCCCCCGUGUCCCCUCUCCCGGGUCCCCCUGCUGCAUGGCGGACACACUCCCCCCUGCCCAGUCACAUCACCUCCUUGAGCCUUCGGCGUCCAGUGGGGUGACUCCUCCCCCCAUAUCUCAUGGUUGGGUUGGGGUGCAAAGAGAAACAAGGCCCCUGAAGUCCUGGGGAGUGUUGGGGGCUGCCCUGGCUUCACCUCCCCCUGGAGGAGAGGGCCCAGCCCAAGCCCCACGCUGGGUUUGUGAGUGGAGAUUCGGGCUGGUGGGGGCGAAGCGUGUGGGGUUUGGCCCUGCGAGGAGGGGUGGGUGACUUGGCCUUCACGUUGGCCGUCCCACCUACCCGCAGCCAUGUGCAUCGCUGGCAGAGUGCCCUGGCCUGGCGGGGGGGCAGAAGGGGCUGGGCAGGGGCAGUGGAGCAACUCAGGAGCUUGCGGUUGGGAAGCGGACACUCCCCUCUGCCUAGGGGAGGGCCUGGGUAUGACGGGGCUGAGCGAGGGGCCCCUCCGGCGUUGGCCUCCCAGGAUGGGCACGGGCUUCUCAUCCGCGUUCGACGCCCCCAUGUAAUAAAACCUGAACCUAAAGAAACA
Non-coding RNA from Microcebus murinus (gray mouse lemur), 2038 nucleotides. NCBI's taxonomy places the organism in Eukaryota, Metazoa, Chordata, Mammalia, Primates, Cheirogaleidae. The record is from RefSeq and is a predicted model, not a curated record.